GCAGAUGAGACAUCUAGACGAGCAUCUACCCUUGUGAGGUCUCCAAAGGACUCUUUGAAUUUACCAUGUUGAAAAGUACAGCAAAGUGAACCAAAUAGAUCAACAGCAAAGGGACUUCUAUGCUUCGAAGCCGAGGAACUGUUGCUACCAUUGUUGAGCCAAGCCUCAAGAGUUCCCCCAAUAAUUCCAGAUACUGCUGCAUGAGGCUCUCUAAGACGAAUAUCAUAAGAAGGGCGAUAAAUCCGUCCCUUAUCUGUUUCAAUAAUGAUGUCCUCUUUUUUUUCCUUGAUUCUCCAGAAAUCUCUGCUCUUUUCAUAAGAAACGGCUGCUUUUCCACAUAUUCCUUGCAUCAGACUGAGUGGUGGCUCGUCAGUAAUGUUAUCAACAGCCCGAGGAUGGCCACCAUUUUUAUGUAAACCAAAUCGGUAUCGCAAUCCAUCCUCGGAAACCAGCGAUAAACAGUCCAACGAUAUUGACUCUGGGACCUCCCAAUAUCUACCUUUAUGGUCUAAGAAUAGCUCAGGCCAUGCUGCUUCCAAAGUAAUG
Molecule: unclassified non-coding RNA, 546 nt
Filed under: Hevea brasiliensis (rubber tree)
Lineage: Eukaryota; Viridiplantae; Streptophyta; Magnoliopsida; Malpighiales; Euphorbiaceae
Source: RNAcentral